This 369-nucleotide ribosomal RNA is filed under the name uncultured phototrophic eukaryote. RNAcentral describes it as "SSU rRNA". It matches the Rfam family "Bacterial small subunit ribosomal RNA", at positions 524 to 896 of the family's 1533-position model. The record is from RNAcentral.
UACGGGGGAUGCAAGCGUUAUCCGGAAUCAUUGGGCGUAAAGCGCCUGUAGGUGGUUUAGUAAGUCUGUUGUUAAAGACUAGGGCUUAACCCUAGAAAAGCGAUGGAAACUACUAGACUAGAGUAUGGCAGGGGUAGAGGGAAUUUCUAGUGUAGCGGUGAAAUGCGUAGAUAUUAGAAAGAACACCGGUGGCGAAAGCGCUCUACUGGACCAUUACUGACACUCAGAGGCGAAAGCUAGGGUAGCAAAAGGGAUUAGAUACCCCUGUAGUCCUGGCCGUAAACGAUGAACACUAGGUGUCGGGGGAUCGCCCCGGUGUCGUAGCCAACGCGUUAAGUGUUCCGCCUGGGGAGUACGCACGCAAGUGUG